GACGAACGCUGGCGGCGUGCUUAACACAUGCAAGUCGAACGGAAAGGCCCUGCUUUUGUGGGGUGCUCGAGUGGCGAACGGGUGAGUAACACGUGAGUAACCUGCCCUUGACUUUGGGAUAACUUCAGGAAACUGGGGCUAAUACCGGAUAGGAGCUCCUGCUGCAUGGUGGGGGUUGGAAAGUUUCGGCGGUUGGGGAUGGACUCGCGGCUUAUCAGCUUGUUGGUGGGGUAGUGGCUUACCAAGGCUUUGACGGGUAGCCGGCCUGAGAGGGUGACCGGCCACAUUGGGACUGAGAUACGGCCCAGACUCCUACGGGAGGCAGCGGUGGGGAAUAUUGCACAAUGGGCGGGAGCCUGAUGCAGCAACGCCGCGUGCGGGAUGACGGCCUUCGGGUUGUAAACCGCUUUCGCCUGUGACGAAGCGUGAGUGACGGUAAUGGGUAAAGAAGCACCGGCUAACUACGUGCCAGCAGCCGCGGUGAUACGUAGGGUGCGAGCGUUGUCCGGAUUUAUUGGGCGUAAAGGGCUCGUAGGUGGUUGAUCGCGUCGGAAGUGCAAUCUUGGGGCUUAACCCUGAGCGUGCUUUCGAUACGGGUUGACUUGAGGAAGGUAGGGGAGAAUGGAAUUCCUAGUGGAGCGGUGGAAUGCGCAGAUAUCAGGAGGAACACCAGUGGCGAAGGCGGUUCUCUGGGCCUUUCCUGACGCUGAGGAGCGAAAGCGUGGGGAGCGAACAGGCUUAGAUACCCUGGUAGUCCACGCUGUAAACGGUGGGUACUAGGUGUGGGGUCCAUUCCACGGGUUCCGUGCCGUAGCUAACGCUUUAAGUACCCCGCCUGGGGAGUACGGCCGCAAGGCUAAAACUCAAAGGAAUUGACGGGGCCCCGCACAAGCGGCGGAGCAUGCGGAUUAAUUCGAUGCAACGCGUAGAACCUUACCUGGGUUUGACAUGGAUCGGGAGUGCCCAGAGAUGGGUGUGCCUCUUUUGGGGUCGGUUCACAGGUGGUGCAUGGCUGUCGUCAGCUCGUGUCGUGAGAUGUUGGGUUAAGUCCCGCAACGAGCGCAACCCUUGUUCACUGUUGCCAGCACGUUAUGGUGGGGACUCAGUGGAGACCGCCGGGGUCAACUCGGAGGAAGGUGGGGAUGACGUCAAGUCAUCAUGCCCCUUAUGUCCAGGGCUUCACGCAUGCUACAAUGGCUGGUACAGAGAGUGGCGAGCCUGUGAGUGUGAGCGAAUCUCGGAAAGCCGGUCUCAGUUCGGAUUGGGGUCUGCAACUCGACCUCAUGAAGUCGGAGUCGCUAGUAAUCGCAGAUCAGCAACGCUGCGGUGAAUACGUUCCCGGGGCU
This 1346-nucleotide ribosomal RNA is filed under the name uncultured bacterium. RNAcentral's name for it is "bacterial SSU rRNA". It matches the Rfam family "Bacterial small subunit ribosomal RNA", at positions 28 to 1381 of the family's 1533-position model. The record is from RNAcentral.